This is a long non-coding RNA of Astatotilapia calliptera (eastern happy), 1010 nucleotides long. Lineage: Eukaryota; Metazoa; Chordata; Actinopteri; Cichliformes; Cichlidae. The record is from Ensembl.
AGACAGUGAUCCACGCCUUUGUUAGCACUCGGCUGGAUUACUGUAAUGCACUUUAUAUUGGGGUCAGCGCAUCAUAUAUUACUCAUCUACAGAGGGUGCAAAAUGCUGCAGCUCAUCUUUUAACUGGCACUCGAAAGUUUGAGCACAUUUCCCCUAUUUUAGCUUCACGUCACUGGCUGCCCAUUUCUAUUAGGAUUUAUUUUAAAAUUCUUUUAUUUGCUUUUAAAGCUCUCCAUGGCCUAGCCCCAUCUUAUCUCUCUGAGCUGCCACAGCCUUAUACACGCACCCGCUCUCUCAGGUCAGCUGAUCAGCUGCUCCUGAAUGUACCAGGACUGGGCGUAAACUUAGAGGAGAUCGUGCUUUUGCUGUAGCAGCUCCAAAACUGUGGAACGAGCUCCCUUUAGAGAUUAGACAGGCCAGUUCUUUACCUGUUUUUAAGUCACUCUUGAAAACCCACCUCUUUACCCUGGCCUUUGACACCACGUGAGAUGUUGGUUUUUAUUUUUAUUUUAUUUUUUAUUUUAGUCGUUUUUAGUUGAUUCGAUGCUGUUUUAUCUUGUUUUUGUUUUUGUUUUAAUAUAGGGCUGUUUUAAUUUUAUGCAUUAUGUUUUUAUUUAUUUUUGCUGUUUUCUGUUAUUCUAUUGUUUUUAACUUAUUUUCUGUACAGCACUUUGUUCCUGUGCUGGGUAUUUGAAAGUGCCUUAUAAAUAAAAUUGGAUUAGAUUGGUGAGGACUUGAUUUAGAGAGCUAUCGUAUGCUUUCAGGAAAUGAUUGCAAGUCAGUGUAAAGUCCUUUAAAGUGAUGCAAACUAUGACUUUGUGCUUGUUUGUCUCCAUGUUUGUUUUGGACACAUUUCAGGAAAAAUCUCACAGCGAGGACACUUCUGCAGCUCUACAACUUUUUGGUUGCUCCUCUUCACACCUUCAUGUCACCACUAGAACAGGGCCCCAAUCUGUUUUUGAGCUCCCAGCUCAGCAGCAUCAUCUUGUGUUCACCACAGGUUAAACAGC